Molecule: long non-coding RNA, 514 nt
Organism: Papilio machaon (common yellow swallowtail)
Lineage: Eukaryota; Metazoa; Arthropoda; Insecta; Lepidoptera; Papilionidae
Exons: 3
Source: RefSeq, a predicted model, not a curated record
UGAUGUUGUUAGAAGCUGCAGAUGCCGAAGCUAAAAAGAUGUCUCGGCAGCGUAUGCUUCUACAAAGAUUAAAGAAUCGCGAACGGUUACUCCAAAAAAUUCCGGAGUGGCAGUUUAGAGCUCAUUACAGGCUGAAUAAGGAAGAGUUCCACUCGUUGUGUGACGAGCUCAGGCACAAUACCAGUUUAAAAGGUUCUAAAACAACUUCACUGGAACUUAAGGUGCUGACAGCAUUGAGCUUUUAUGCCAUGGGUUCAUAUCAGAAAGGUGUUGCUAAUGAGGUACAUAUGAAUCAAAAAAGUGAAGUCGGUGUAUCAGAGAGGUGACAAAAGGUCUGAAUGUGAUUUCAAAUAAAUGGAUACAAUUCCCACAAACAAGCACACAAAGAUCUAAAAUUAAGCAAGGAUUUUAUACUAAGUUUAAUUUUCCUGGUGUAAUUGGUGCCAUUGAUUGCACCCAUGUGGCCAUAGUUCGUCCAGCUGCAGAUGUACCUUGUUUUUAUAACAGAAAAGGC